This 60-nucleotide transfer RNA is filed under the name Ptygomastax nihilsulcus. Its description in RNAcentral is "tRNA-Cys". Lineage: Eukaryota; Metazoa; Arthropoda; Insecta; Orthoptera; Eumastacidae. The record is from RNAcentral.
GGCUUUAUAUUCAAAAUGAUAUUAGAUUGCAAAUCUGAAGGUGUAGUAUUACUAAGGCCU